RNAcentral lists this unclassified non-coding RNA (150 nucleotides) under plant metagenome. RNAcentral's name for it is "partial contains small subunit ribosomal RNA, internal transcribed spacer 1, and 5.8S ribosomal RNA". The record is from RNAcentral.
UUUCCGUAGGUGAACCUGCGGAAGGAUCAUUAGAAAAGGAAAAAAUAUAACCAAGUGCAAGAAGAGACACAGAUGAUAGUAGUAGUAUAAUAAUAUACAACAACUUUUAGCAACGGGUCUCUAGGUUCUCGCAUCGGUGAAGAACGCAGC